UACGAAGGGGGCUAGCGUCGUUCGGAAUCACUGGGCGUAAAGCGCGUGUAGGCGGAUUGUUAAGUCAGGGGUGAAAUCCCGAGGCUCAACCUCGGAACUGCCUUUGAUACUGACGAUCUAGAGUCCGGGAGAGGUGAGUGGAACUCCUAGUGUAGAGGUGAAAUUCGUAGAUAUUAGGAAGAACACCAGUGGCGAAGGCGGCUCACUGGCCCGGUACUGACGCUGAUAUGCGAAAGCGUGGGGAGCAAACAGG
This 253-nucleotide ribosomal RNA is filed under the name uncultured bacterium. Its description in RNAcentral is "partial 16S ribosomal RNA". It matches the Rfam family "Bacterial small subunit ribosomal RNA", at positions 524 to 776 of the family's 1533-position model. The record is from RNAcentral.